CCUCUCGUCCGCUACCUCACCUGCCACGCCCCCCCCCUGGAGUGCAACCGCACAUACACGCACACCAACGUAUCCGACCACAUGGAGGGGGCCUCUGACAAACUUUUGAGGGAGCCGUUCCGAGCCAACUUCAAGCGAGAGCGCUCCAGCUCCUACUCCACCGAGAGAGGCAGCCCGACGUCUCCGCAUCUUCGGCGGCUUCGUCCCCUGCCGACAUCGUCUUCCGAGGGCAAAGGCGCUGCGGACGGCGACGGCGAGGAAGACCCGCAUACUCGGCGGCAAGCCGAGCCGGAGCUCUUCGAGCUCACUCCUCAUGGCGGAACCGCCAACACAAACGUGCGUGCAACGCGCUUUGGUGUAGAGGGUCUUCGCAUCGGGCGAGACCCCAGCUGCUGUGACCUGGUGCUUCCCUCGAACUCGGUAUCGAGGCUUCAUUGCGUUCUCUCUGUCCUUGGUGAUGACGUGUUCGUGCACGACAACAGCUUCAACGGCACUUUCAUCAAUGGCCGCCGCGUAGGGCGGGGCCGAUGCUCGGUGUUGCAUCCGCGCGACACACUUUCCUUCCUGAACCCCACACUAGAGGAGGCAAGCCGGUGUGGGUUUGAGUUUGCGCCGUUGCCGGGGCACUCCUCAUCAGCCUUUACAGCAGUGGAAGGACUGCGGCGGUACGAGCUAGGGCCGGUGCUUGGUCAAGGGAGCUUGGCGGCGGUGCGGCUUGGUAUAGACCGGGAGACGGGGGCCCCAGUCGCUAUCAAACUGAUUGAGCGGGGGCGCUUCUCCUGUGAUGAGGCUGCGGCCUCACUGCACACAGAGAUCGAAAUGAUGCGCAGCAUGGAUCACCCACAUGUUGUACGGGUGGUGGACGCGUUUGAGGGCAGCGGCUGUGUCGCAUUGGUCAUGGAGUACGUGCGCGGCGGCGACCUGUUUGACUACAUCGUCGGACGCGGACGCAACCCUUUCACCGAGGCUGAAGCGCGCCAUCUCUUCGGGCAGCUCCUCGAGGCAAUUUUGUACAUCCACGGCCGAAGCAUAAUCCACUGCGAUCUCAAGCCGGAGAACGUGCUCGUUGACGUCGUCAGGAGAGGGUCCGAUGGCGAGGUUGACACGACCUCAGCCUCGGCGACGGCGACGACGCAGGGUGUGGCGUCAUCGGCGCUGCAGACCGACGGCGAUGCCGCGCUCUCCGUCGUGGACGAUCACCAGGCGGAGGCAAAGACGGUUUCGCCAUACGACGUGAGGCUGAAGCUGGCGGACUUUGGCAGUGCCAAGUACGAAGGCGGCGGCGCAGGGGGUGGCAUGCUAGAGACCACCGGUGCCGCCACGCCAGUCUACGCAGCGCCGGAGCUGGCAUGUUUUCCUGCGGACGGAGCACCACCGCACGAGAUUACUGCGGCGGUGGAUGUGUGGUCUCUAGGAGUGCUCCUUUACAUUCUCUGCUCUGGUACCGUACCAAAGCCCCCCCGCGCUGACGCAGUCGUCGCCUUCAAUCGGUCCAUGACACAUCUAUCCGUUCUGUGUAAGGACCUCAUUGCGCGCAUGAUGACAGUGGACCCAUCGCAGCGCCCUUCCCUCGCCGACGUCUGUCAUCACCCCUGGCUCGACGGCCUCACGAUCUCCGGCGCACCGGACAGGGGCGCGCUGGGCAGCAAAGACGUCUUGUCUGUGACGGCGAAGCUGUCGCCGAGCUUUCCGGAGGCGGCGAAGCCGCUGUAGGGGCGCCACGGCGCACGCUCCAGUUUUUCCUGCAGGUGCGCUUCUGCUUCGGAAGGCGCGGCGGCUCCAGCGUCGCCGCUGACGCAAGAUCACGUGCCACUCUCCGGCACUCCUUUGGCACCAUUGCCACUGCAUCUUGUUGCGCACGCGCGCAGAAAGGUGCGUCUCGCUCCUCUCCUCGGCCGUCUGCGAGUGUGCCGCUGCAUGCCAUGCGGCGCAUCCGUGCCCUCAUCGGAAACAGGUGCAUGCUUCCGGCGGAAAGGAGGGAUAUCCUGUGAGAGGCGAGAGUCAAGCGCUCCUCUGUGUGAUUGCUUGAACACCUGCGUGUGUCAGCAUGCCAUAUCCUCGGCUGCGAGAGAGGGGUAGGGCGGUGGUGCACCCACUCUUCCGUGCAAGCGCUCUGCGGCUUGUGUUCUCGUCUCAGCGGCGCUGCGUAGAUUUCAGCUACAAUGCGCAGGAAGGGGAGGGGCGAUGGUGCUGUCUUCAAGAGGGUAGACCGUAAGCGCAAUCAAAAAACAGCCAGCGGAGUUGUGGUGAGGCUGCGCCGCCCGCAUUACACCGACCGCCUCCAUCAGCAGUCCCACGUGCCGAGGGCACCGUGAGCCCACCUGUAAAGCUGCCUGCUCACACGUCCGAAGUAGGCUGCUUUCCUAUGUGGCAACAGCUUCUGCAAACUCAUGACAAACAAUGCGGUCUCUCUGCACGCUGCCGGAGCUUCUGGCGAAGGCGCUCCGCGUGGCGUGUGUACCGAUGCGGGAGCCCCUUUCCACUCUUUCUCCCGCAUGCCGCCUUCUCCCUGCCCUUCCUUCCCGCCAUGUCCUGCCGAGGGCUCGUGUGUUUCGUGCUCGCGCCUCACUUCACAACGGUGCAG
Molecule: unclassified non-coding RNA, 2584 nt
Filed under: Leishmania donovani
Lineage: Eukaryota; Euglenozoa; Kinetoplastea; Trypanosomatida; Trypanosomatidae
Description: gene:LdHU3.24.0260(CDS-product:protein_kinase_put ative)
Source: RNAcentral